RNAcentral lists this ribosomal RNA (447 nucleotides) under uncultured bacterium. RNAcentral describes it as "SSU rRNA". It matches the Rfam family "Bacterial small subunit ribosomal RNA", at positions 26 to 518 of the family's 1533-position model. The record is from RNAcentral.
AGAGCGAACGCUGGCGGCAGGCUUAACACAUGCAAGUCGAGCGGGCGUAGUAAUACGUCAGCGGCAGACGGGUGAGUAACGCGUGGGAACGUACCUUUUGGUUCGGAACAACACAGGGAAACUUGUGCUAAUACCGGAUAAGCCCUUACGGGGAAAGAUUUAUCGCCGAAAGAUCGGCCCGCGUCUGAUUAGCUAGUUGGUGAGGUAACGGCUCACCAAGGCGACGAUCAGUAGCUGGUCUGAGAGGAUGAUCAGCCACAUUGGGACUGAGACACGGCCCAAACUCCUACGGGAGGCAGCAGUGGGGAAUAUUGGACAAUGGGCGCAAGCCUGAUCCAGCCAUGCCGCGUGAGUGAUGAAGGCCCUAGGGUUGUAAAGCUCUUUUGUGCGGGAAGAUAAUGACGGUACCGCAAGAAUAAGCCCGGCUAACUUCGUGCCAGCAGCCGC